CAGUCGCCGCGGUAAUACGAACCGUGCGAACGUUAUUCGGAAUUACUGGGCUUAAAGCGCGUGUAGGCGGGUCGGCACGUCGGUCGCUGAAAUCCCCCGGCUCAACCGGGGAUGUGGCGCCGAUACGGCCGGCCUGGAGGGGGGUAGGGGGGCCUGGAACCUCCGGUGGAGCGGUGAAAUGCGUUGAGAUCGGAAGGAACGCCCGUGGCGAAAGCGAGGCCCUGGACCCUUUCUGACGCUGAGACGCGAAAGCCAGGGGAGCGAACGGGAUUAGAUACCCCGGUAGUCCCUGUCUCUUAUA
Molecule: ribosomal RNA, 301 nt
Filed under: uncultured bacterium
Lineage: Bacteria
Description: partial 16S ribosomal RNA
Rfam family: Bacterial small subunit ribosomal RNA
Source: RNAcentral